GGCAACGGGUGAGUAACAUGUAGGUAUCUGCCCUUUGGCCGAAUAACACGAGGAAACUUGUGCUAAUACCGGAUAAGUCUUUACGGAGAAAGCUUUAUGCACCAUUGGAUGAGCCUGCACUUGAUUAGUUUGUUGGUGGGGUAAUGGCCUACCAAGACUGUGAUCAAUAGCUGAUUUGAGAGGAUGAUCAGCCACAUUGGGACUGAGACACGGCCCAAACUCCUACGGGAGGCAGCAGUGGGGAAUCUUGCACAAUGGAGGAAACUCUGAUGCAGCGAUGCCGCGUGAGUGAAGAAGGCCCUUGGGUUGUAAAGCUCUUUCGUCGGGGAAGAAAAUGACUGUACCCGAAUAAGAAGGUCCGGCUAACUUCGUGCCAGCAGCCGCGGUAAUACGAAGGGACCUAGCGUAGUUCGGAAUUACUGGGCUUAAAGAGUUC
This 436-nucleotide ribosomal RNA is filed under the name uncultured Pseudomonadota bacterium. RNAcentral's name for it is "bacterial SSU rRNA". It matches the Rfam family "Bacterial small subunit ribosomal RNA", at positions 98 to 570 of the family's 1533-position model. The record is from RNAcentral. Lineage: Bacteria; Pseudomonadati; Pseudomonadota.